GAUGAACGCUGGCGGCGUGCCUAAUACAUGCAAGUCGAGCGAACAGAUGAGGAGCUUGCUCCUCUGACGUUAGCGGCGGACGGGUGAGUAACACGUGGAUAACCUACCUAUAAGACUGGGAUAACUUCGGGAAACCGGAGCUAAUACCGGAUAAUAUAUUGAACCGCAUGGUUCAAUAGUGAAAGACGGUUUUGCUGUCACUUAUAGAUGGAUCCGCGCCGCAUUAGCUAGUUGGUAAGGUAACGGCUUACCAAGGCAACGAUGCGUAGCCGACCUGAGAGGGUGAUCGGCCACACUGGAACUGAGACACGGUACAGACUCCUACGGGAGGCAGCAGCAGGGAAUCUUCCGCAAUGGGCGAAAGCCUGACGGAGCAACGCCGCGUGAGUGAUGAAGGUCUUCGGAUCGUAAAACUCUGUUAUUAGGGAAGAACAAAUGUGUAAGUAACUAUGCACGUCUUGACGGUACCUAAUCAGAAAGCCACGGCUAACUACGUG
RNAcentral lists this ribosomal RNA (497 nucleotides) under uncultured bacterium. RNAcentral describes it as "partial 16S ribosomal RNA". It matches the Rfam family "Bacterial small subunit ribosomal RNA", at positions 28 to 507 of the family's 1533-position model. The record is from RNAcentral.